RNAcentral lists this ribosomal RNA (253 nucleotides) under uncultured bacterium. RNAcentral's name for it is "partial 16S ribosomal RNA". It matches the Rfam family "Bacterial small subunit ribosomal RNA", at positions 524 to 776 of the family's 1533-position model. The record is from RNAcentral.
UACGUAGGUGGCGAGCGUUGUCCGGAUUUACUGGGCGUAAAGGGCGUGCAGGCGGUUUGUUAAGUGCAGGGUGAAAGCUCCCGGCUCAACUGGGAGAGAUCCUUGCAUACUGGCGAACUCGAGGGAGGCAGAGGAAAGUGGAAUUCCCGGUGUAGUGGUGAUAUGCGUAGAUAUCGGGAGGAACACCUGUGGCGAAGGCGGCUUUCUGGGCCUUACCUGACGCUGAGACGCGAAAGCGUGGGGAGCGAACCGG